UUAGAGUUUGAAUCCUGGCUCAGAUUGAACGCUGGCGGCAGGCCUAACACAUGCAAGUCGAGCGGUAGAGAGAAGCUUGCUUCUCUUGAGAGCGGCGGUCGGGUGAGUAAUGCCUAGGAAUCUGCCUGGUAGUGGGGGAUAACGUUCGGAAACGGACGCUAAUACCGCAUACGUCCUACGGGAGAAAGCAGGGGACCUUCGGGCCUUGCGCUAUCAGAUGAGCCUAGGUCGGAUUAGCUAGUUGGUGAGGUAAUGGCUCACCAAGGCGACGAUCCGUAACUGGUCUGAGAGGAUGAUCAGUCACACUGGAACUGAGACACGGUCCAGACUCCUACGGGAGGCAGCAGUGGGGAAUAUUGGACAAUGGGCGAAAGCCUGAUCCAGCCAUGCCGCGUGUGUGAAGAAGGUCUUCGGAUUGUAAAGCACUUUAAGUUGGGAGGAAGGGCAGUUACCUAAUACGUGAUUGUUUUGACGUUACCGACAGAAUAAGCACCGGCUAACUCUGUGCCAGCAGCCGCGGUAAUACAGAGGGUGCAAGCGUUAAUCGGAAUUACUGGGCGUAAAGCGCGCGUAGGUGGUUAGUUAAGUUGGAUGUGAAAUCCCCGGGCUCAACCUGGGAACUGCAUUCAAAACUGACUGACUAGAGUAUGGUAGAGGGUGGUGGAAUUUCCUGUGUAGCGGUGAAAUGCGUAGAUAUAGGAAGGAACACCAGUGGCGAAGGCGACCACCCUGGACUGAUACUGACACUGAGGUGCGAAAGCGUGGGAGCAACCGGNUAACC
This 781-nucleotide ribosomal RNA is filed under the name Pseudomonas sp. CUL-LABH2L2. Its description in RNAcentral is "bacterial SSU rRNA". It matches the Rfam family "Bacterial small subunit ribosomal RNA", at positions 1 to 787 of the family's 1533-position model. The record is from RNAcentral. Lineage: Bacteria; Pseudomonadati; Pseudomonadota; Gammaproteobacteria; Pseudomonadales; Pseudomonadaceae.